RNAcentral lists this ribosomal RNA (364 nucleotides) under uncultured eukaryote. Its description in RNAcentral is "partial 18S ribosomal RNA". It matches the Rfam family "Eukaryotic small subunit ribosomal RNA", at positions 592 to 976 of the family's 1831-position model. The record is from RNAcentral.
CAAAAGCGUAUAUUAAAGUUGUUGCAGUUAAAAAGCUCGUAGUUGAACCUUGGGCUUGGCUGGCCGGUCCAUCUUUUUUGAUGCGUACUGGACCCAGCCGAGCCUUUCCUUCUGGCUAGCCUUUUGGCGAACCAGGACUUUUACUUUGAAAAAAUUAGAGUGUUCAAAGCAGGCCUUUGCUCGAAUAUAUUAGCAUGGAAUAAUGGAAUAGGACGUUAUGGUUCUAUUUUGUUGGUUUCUAGGACCAUCGUAAUGAUUAAUAGGGACGGUCGGGGGUAUCAGUAUUCAGUUGUCAGAGGUGAAAUUCUUGGAUUUACUGAAGACUAACUACUGCGAAAGCAUUUACCAAGGACGUUUUCAUUAA